Molecule: RNA transcript, 1878 nt
Organism: Daphnia pulex (common water flea)
Lineage: Eukaryota; Metazoa; Arthropoda; Branchiopoda; Diplostraca; Daphniidae
Gene name: serine protease hepsin-like
Exons: 8
Source: RefSeq, a predicted model, not a curated record
GUGUCUUUAAUGUGAAUAGAGGUGCUAUGUCAGUCAAGUUGGGAGGUUAUCCGAUACGUCGGACAUUAACUUAUUAAGUUUGUAAUUUCCAAACUGUGCUAUUUAUAAGAUGUCCGUCUGUCGUAUCGUAGACCAGCAGUGCAGUUAAUAGUUAUCCUUGAUCAAUUUGUCUGUCGUCUCAAUUGCGAAUCGUUCAGUGGAAAAAGUGUAAGGGUGGACAUUGUGGUAGGACACGGAUCGCAGUCAUAUAACACGACAAGCCUUCGAAUACAUUCCUUGUAUUACAGAGAUUUGUAGUACAGAGUGUCGUGUUAUUUUCAUCAAGAUUAUUGCUGCUUGUAAUUUUAUAUUGCCGCAUUUGCUCCAGUCACUCGACGAUAUACAUAUUUAUUCAAAGUGACGCAACAAUAUCUUCCUCCAACAUCCACCCUGUGAAAUGAGUGUUUUCACAGCUGGAUAGGCUAUCGGUGAGUCUUGGCAUGCAUUCCCAGGGAGACGGAAAUACUUUGUCAAACGAUGCGCAACAAACGAGAAGGAUCACUCGCGUUGUCUAUACCACGCCAAUUACAAUGAUGCGACAAAACCACUAGCCAGUGAAGAUCUGGUGAGUGGUGACACCACCUGAAUGCAAAUGCCGCCUCGUGAACGCUCGUGAACCGGUUUGAAUCGAAGGAUUCUUCGUGAUUUUGCCAUUCAACAUGGAUUGGUUGCGAGGGGCAGAGACUUAAUUGAACAACGGUGGACUCCUUUGGCAAGGAGCGCUUUCGCAAAUCCUGCGCUGAUCCCGAUGAUGGAUGAUGUCAAUCCGUAGCCUAUACCCGAACUUCCCCAAGUCAGACAUCGAUCACCAACAACGCAGUCAGAUGACACUCUGUUCCGACCGUAUCCUCUCUUCAAUCCGACCAACAAUAACGUCCCUGAUGUCGAAGAUGCCACCUCUGAAACGAAGCAGAUUGCUUGUGGUGUCGGACCUGACUCACCACCGACGGAGUUAAUCCGAUACCGGCCCAGCUGACCGCAUAGUCGGUAGAACCAAUGCGAUCCCGAAUUCUUGGCCAUUUAUCCCCCAGCCAUCGUUUAUUCACCUGCCAUUUCGCCCGUUUGCUUGCCAGCAUUAGCCAGUUCCGCCGUUGAUCAAUUCGAAUGCCAAGGUGCUGCCAUCAUGGGAAAGGGGAAUCUCAAAUUUGGUAAAGCACCAGCAUUUGAGAUUUGAGAUCAUAUCCGUUAUUUUCGUUCUAGAUGGAUCCGCGCCCAAUAUGCUCUGCGACAAGCAACUGUCAAGAUUGUUACUAAUGCCGAAUGUAAUGCCUUAUCAUACGGAGGCAAAAUUAAGCCCCAGCAGUUCUGUGCAACAACUUAUGGAAAAGACUCGUGUCAUUGGUGUCAAGGUGACAGCUGCGGGCCGAAUCUGCGAGCUAUUAAUCGGCUGUGCGAAUCCAGCAUUUACAUGGAGUUUACGCCAAAGUGGCAUUUUUCCGGAACUGCAUUAAUACUUACAUGCAGGAACAAGGAAACACUACUUGACGACCAGAUUAUAUUUCCGAAGUCCAGGCGACCCAAAUCUGGAUUACGGUGUAUCUAUCUAUGCUCAUCCUGAAAUCCAAAUUUUAAAAAAAUCACACGAAAUGAAUUCUCAUCAUUUUCGCAUUGCGGUGACGGAUAAUUAUUUAUCUGAUUAAGUUAAAUGGCCUUUUUAAAAUUUGUUUUUUCUAUAUUGCUAUCUGAUACGAUUGGUUCUUUUACCACUUUUUUUACGUCUGAUUUCUUCCCACUCAAUUAACUGUAUGCGAUCCCAAAAAUUCUUUUGGUUUGGUAUGAUAUUAUUCGUAUAUCUGAUUUGCAUUUUACGGAAUAAAUCGGGUAUUUAAAGAAACAAAA